CGUACACUCCUGCGGGAGGCAGCAGUGGGGAAUAUUGGACAAUGGGCGCAAGCCUGAUCCAGCCAUGCCGCGUGAGUGAUGAAGGCCCUAGGGUUGUAAAGCUCUUUCACCGGUGAAGAUAAUGACGGUAACCGGAGAAGAAGCCCCGGCUAACUUCGUGCCAGCAGCCGCGGUAAUACGAAGGGGGCUAGCGUUGUUUGGAUUUACUGGGCGUAAAGCGCACGUAGGCGGACUAUUAAGUCAGGGGUGAAAUCCCGGGGCUCAACCCCGGAACUGCCUUUGAUACUGGUAGUCUUGAGUUCGAGAGAGGUGAGUGGAAUUCCGAGUGUAGAGGUGAAAUUCGUAGAUAUUCGGAGGAACACCAGUGGCGAAGGCGGCUCACUGGCUCGAUACUGACGCUGAGGUGCGAAAGCGUGGGGAGCAAACAGGAUUAGAAACCCGGGUAGUCCCAUG
RNAcentral lists this ribosomal RNA (453 nucleotides) under uncultured organism. RNAcentral's name for it is "partial 16S ribosomal RNA". It matches the Rfam family "Bacterial small subunit ribosomal RNA", at positions 330 to 799 of the family's 1533-position model. The record is from RNAcentral.